GACGAAGGUGGCGACCGUUGUUCGGAAUCACUGGGCAUAAAGCGCGCGUAGGCGGCAAAGUAAGUCGGGUGUGAAAUCCCUCGGCCUAACCGAGGAACUGCGCUCGAAACUACUUUGCUUGAGGACGGAAGGGGAGUGUGGAAUUCCUGGUGGAGCGGUGAAAUGCGUUGAUAUCAGGAGGAACACCGGCGGCGAAGGCGACACUCUGGUCCGUUUCUGACGCUGAGGCGCGAAAGCUAGGGGAGCAAACGGG
This 253-nucleotide ribosomal RNA is filed under the name uncultured bacterium. Its description in RNAcentral is "partial 16S ribosomal RNA". It matches the Rfam family "Bacterial small subunit ribosomal RNA", at positions 524 to 776 of the family's 1533-position model. The record is from RNAcentral.